This is a transfer RNA of 82 nucleotides. It matches the Rfam family "tRNA". From Rfam's summary of the family: Transfer RNA (tRNA) molecules are approximately 80 nucleotides in length. Their secondary structure includes four short double-helical elements and three loops (D, anti-codon, and T loops). Further hydrogen bonds mediate the characteristic L-shaped molecular structure. tRNAs have two regions of fundamental functional importance: the anti-codon, which is responsible for specific mRNA codon recognition, and the 3' end, to which the tRNAs corresponding amino acid is attached (by aminoacyl-tRNA synthetases). tRNAs cope with the degeneracy of the genetic code in two manners: having more than one tRNA (with a specific anti-codon) for a particular amino acid; and 'wobble' base-pairing, i.e. permitting non-standard base-pairing at the 3rd anti-codon position. The record is from Rfam.
GCGACUGUGGUGUAGUGGUAGCAUGUUCGCUUUGGGAUUCGUCUAUUGCGAAUGGUCCGCGGUUCAAUCCCGUGCUGUCGCC